RNAcentral lists this ribosomal RNA (465 nucleotides) under Vreelandella stevensii. RNAcentral describes it as "partial 16S ribosomal RNA". It matches the Rfam family "Bacterial small subunit ribosomal RNA", at positions 338 to 795 of the family's 1533-position model. Lineage: Bacteria; Pseudomonadati; Pseudomonadota; Gammaproteobacteria; Oceanospirillales; Halomonadaceae. The record is from RNAcentral.
CCUACGGGUGGCAGCAGUGGGGAAUAUUGGACAAUGGGCGAAAGCCUGAUCCAGCCAUGCCGCGUGUGUGAAGAAGGCCUUCGGGUUGUAAAGCACUUUCAGUGGGGAAGAAAGCCUUGGGGCUAAUACCCUCGAGGAAGGACAUCACCCACAGAAGAAGCACCGGCUAACUCCGUGCCAGCAGCCGCGGUAAUACGGAGGGUGCGAGCGUUAAUCGGAAUUACUGGGCGUAAAGCGCGCGUAGGCGGUCUGAUAAGCCGGUUGUGAAAGCCCCGGGCUCAACCUGGGAACGGCAUCCGGAACUGUCAGGCUAGAGUGCAGGAGAGGAAGGUAGAAUUUCCGGUGUAGCGGUGAAAUGCGUAGAGAUUGGGAGGAAUACCAGUGGCGAAGGCGGCCUUCUGGACUGACACUGACGCUGAGGUGCGAAAGCGUGGGUAGCAAACAGGAUUAGAUACCCUGGUAGUC